GGCGGCAUGCCUAACACAUGCAAGUCGAACGGCAGCACAGUGUGUAGCAAUACACAUGGGUGGCGAGUGGCGGACGGGUGAGGAAUACAUCGGAAUCUGCCCGGUUGUGGGGGAUAACGUAGGGAAACUUACGCUAAUACCGCAUACGACCGAGAGGUGAAAGCGUGGGAUCCGCAAGGACCUCGCGCAGCCGGAUGAGCCGAUGUCGGAUUAGCUAGUUGGCGGGGUAAAGGCCCACCAAGGCGACGAUCCGUAGCUGGUCUGAGAGGAUGAUCAGCCACACUGGGACUGAGACACGGCCCAGACUCCUACGGGAGGCAGCAGUGGGGAAUAUUGGACAAUGGGGGCAACCCUGAUCCAGCAAUGCCGCGUGUGUGAAGAAGGCCUUCGGGUUGUAAAGCACUUUUAUCCGGAACGAAACGCGCUUGGUCAAUANCCAGGUGAACUGACGGUACCGGANGAAUAAGCACCGGCUAACUUCGUGCCAGCAGCCGCGGUAAUACGAAGGGUGCAAGCGUUACUCGGAAUUACUGGGCGUAAAGGGUGCGU
RNAcentral lists this ribosomal RNA (549 nucleotides) under uncultured Gammaproteobacteria bacterium. RNAcentral's name for it is "bacterial SSU rRNA". It matches the Rfam family "Bacterial small subunit ribosomal RNA", at positions 38 to 572 of the family's 1533-position model. Lineage: Bacteria; Pseudomonadati; Pseudomonadota; Gammaproteobacteria. The record is from RNAcentral.